UUCCGUGUUGACAUCACUCUGCAGCCCAAGACUGGUUGCCCACUGAAGCUAAGCAGGGUUGAGCCUGGUCAGUACCUGGAUGGGAGACCUCCUGAGAAAACUAGGUUGCUGUUGGAA
This 117-nucleotide ribosomal RNA is filed under the name Sinocyclocheilus rhinocerous. The record is from RNAcentral. Lineage: Eukaryota; Metazoa; Chordata; Actinopteri; Cypriniformes; Cyprinidae.